RNAcentral lists this ribosomal RNA (228 nucleotides) under uncultured archaeon. RNAcentral describes it as "partial 16S ribosomal RNA". It matches the Rfam family "Archaeal small subunit ribosomal RNA", at positions 23 to 246 of the family's 1478-position model. The record is from RNAcentral.
GCCACUGCUAUUGGGGUUCGGCUAAGCCAUGCGAGUGGAGGGCCUCCCGCAAGGGAUGGCCCCGCAGACGGCUCAGUAACACGUCGUCAACCCACCUUAGGGUGGGGGACAACCUCGGGAAACUGAGGAUAAUCCCCCAUAGGCGGGGGAGGCUGGAAUGCGUCCCCGCUGAAAGCUCAGGCGCCCUAGGACGGGACGGCGGCCUAUCAGGUAGUUGGUGGUGUGACG